AGAGUUUGAUCAUGGCUCAGAAUCAACGCUGGCGGCGUGCCUAACACAUGCAAGUCGAACGAGAAAGCGGGGGCAACUCCGUGAGUAAAGUGGCGACCGGGUGAGUAACACGUGACUAACCUGCCCUUGAGUGGGGGAUAACCUCGGGAAACCGGGGCUAAUACCGCAUAAUUUCAUGAGGUGAAAUUCCGCAUGAUCAA
This 200-nucleotide ribosomal RNA is filed under the name uncultured bacterium. RNAcentral's name for it is "partial 16S ribosomal RNA". It matches the Rfam family "Bacterial small subunit ribosomal RNA", at positions 8 to 204 of the family's 1533-position model. The record is from RNAcentral.